RNAcentral lists this microRNA (21 nucleotides) under Monodelphis domestica (gray short-tailed opossum). RNAcentral describes it as "mdo-miR-7272-5p". Lineage: Eukaryota; Metazoa; Chordata; Mammalia; Didelphimorphia; Didelphidae. The record is from miRBase by way of RNAcentral.
GGGACAGUUCUGGUUUUGUCA